GGGGAUUAGUCCGAGGCGGAGUGCUCCGUCGACCUCAAGCUCGGCGGGCUAGGCGAGAUCGGGGCGGCGGACGGCACAACCACGAAGGAGCCGGUGGCUGCAACCGCAGCUCCGUCCGCCACCCCGAUGAAGCGCCCGCGCUUGCGGCCCGGCGGCGCCGGCGGGGCGCAGUGCCCGUCGUGCGCGGUGGACGGCUGCAAGGCCGACCUGAGCAAGUGCCGCGACUACCACCGCCGCCACAAGGUCUGUGAGACGCACUCCAAGACGCCCAUCGUUGUCGUCACCGGCCGCGAGAUGCGCUUCUGCCAGCAGUGCAGCAGACACCCAAAUCUCUCUUCAGCACACAAUAAAGCAGGAGCUGUUCAAGAACGCUGGCUAUGUCGAAGGCUGUUUGUAGAGGGCCAUGGCAUCAUGGCAUGGGAGGAAGAAGAAGAGGAUGCAACAAUAAAUUAAUCUUAAGUAGCGGUGGAAGCAACAACAGUAGUAUCAGUUCAGGUCCAGUAGCGGAAAAGGCAGGCAGGGCAAAGAUUUGGGAGGCCUUUUCAAUCCAUCUCCCCCAUCAUAACCCACUUUGAUCUAUCCAUGUUAGCAGUACAUGUUCGUCCAUCCUAUAGCAUCAUGCAGGAUGCAAAGGUUUCCCUGUGCUGCUGAAUCUUUCUCCUAUAUCUCUACUAUUCUAUAAGAGGUUCUAUAUUCAUAAGCAUGUUGUUGCACCACACAACCUUUUUGUUUUAUAUGUUGUCAUCUGAUCUCUGGUGAAAAGGAGGGAGAUGAGCUACGGAGGAAAUCUGAUGUUAUGGAACUCUAAGAAAAGUCUAGAUUUCCACAGGUCCAGUGGUGCCACUGAUGUCAAGUCAGCAGAAACGAUUCUUGAGCAUGAGUAUGCGUCGAUGCUCUUUUUCCCUGAGGCAAUGCUACUCCUAUGCACAGUGAUGUAGUAGCAACGGAGAACUGUCAUUAAUUGGAUACUUCUUAUCCUAAUUGCAGUCGUAUCAUUUAGCUUGGGGUUUGAAUUAUCGGAUUGCCCUACCAUACUGCUUAGCUAAAGCCCUUGUCAAAAUGCAUAAUUAGAAGCAACUAUUAAAGAAAGAUCAGCUUCAGAUAGAGUGAAGACGCGAGUGCAUUUUCCAGGGAUGGAAAGAAGGCAUGAUUUAUUUUCCUCCGACAUAUAAAUACUCAUUCAACUCGGAUCGUUACUCUGGUGUGCGGCCCAAAGAAAAUCGGAGGACACAUGCUUGGUGCGAUCACAUUCCGUGGCCUCUUGCAGUCGUCCUACAUCCGCGGAGAGUCUCGCUUCUUUGACCACGGACCAGUGUACAAUCUUUUCAUGGCUAAGGUUGGGAGUGUCCACCACAGAAGAUCGAACUUAACCUUGAUCAUGAUCUCUAGCGCUGAGGGAACAGUGAUAGAUUGAUAUGAGGUUUGUAGGUGUAAUUAUGUGUAUAAUAACCUUUUUUUAUUUUCCUUGCCCCUAUGGUGUAGUACCUGAAAAGCAAAAUGAUGUAUGUAUUUGUUGUUAAAUACUUUUCUAAUUCUAACAGUAAGAAAUUAAGGUUGUGCCGAUGCAC
Molecule: RNA transcript, 1568 nt
Organism: Zea mays
Lineage: Eukaryota; Viridiplantae; Streptophyta; Magnoliopsida; Poales; Poaceae
Gene name: inositol polyphosphate 5-phosphatase - Squamosa promoter-binding pseudogene
Exons: 5
Source: RefSeq, marked validated